Molecule: unclassified non-coding RNA, 358 nt
Filed under: soil metagenome
Description: partial contains 5.8S ribosomal RNA, internal transcribed spacer 2, and large subunit ribosomal RNA
Rfam family: 5.8S ribosomal RNA (bases 1-120)
Source: RNAcentral
GAUGAAGAACGUAGCGAAAUGCGAUACGUAGUGUGAAUUGCAGAAUUCCGUGAAUCAUCAAAUCUUUGAACGCACAUUGCGCCCGUCAGUAUUCUGGCGGGCAUGCCUGUUCGAGCGUCAUUACGCCCCUCAAGUCCCCUGUGGACUUGGUGUUGGGGAUCGGCGAGGCUGGUUUUCCAGCACAGCCGUCCCUUAAAUUAAUUGGCGGUCUCGCCGUGGCCCUCCUCUGCGCAGUAGUAAAACACUCGCAACAGGAGCCCGGCGCGGUCCACUGCCGUAAAACCCCCCAACUUUUUAUAGUUGACCUCGAAUCAGGUAGGACUACCCGCUGAACUUAAGCAUAUCAAUAAGCGGAGGA